RNAcentral lists this ribosomal RNA (467 nucleotides) under uncultured bacterium. RNAcentral describes it as "partial 16S ribosomal RNA". It matches the Rfam family "Bacterial small subunit ribosomal RNA", at positions 28 to 507 of the family's 1533-position model. The record is from RNAcentral.
GACGAACGCUGGCGGCGUGCUUAACACAUGCAAGUCGAACGGAAAGGCCUCUUUCGGGGGGUACUCGAGUGGCGAACGGGUGAGUAACACGUGAGUAACCUGCCCUUGACUUUGGGAUAACUUCAGGAAACUGGGGCUAAUACCGGAUAGGAGCUCCUGCUGCAUGGUGGGGGUUGGAAAGUUUCGGCGGUUGGGGAUGGACUCGCGGCUUAUCAGCUUGUUGGUGGGGUAGUGGCUUACCAAGGCUUUGACGGGUAGCCGGCCUGAGAGGGUGACCGGCCACAUUGGGACUGAGAUAAGGCCCAGACUCCUACGGGAGGCAGCAGUGGGGAAUAUUGCACAAUGGGUGGAAGCCGGAUGCAGCAACGCCGUGUGCGGGAUGACGGCCUUCGGGUUGUAAACCGCUUUCGCUCAUGACGAAGCUUUGUGUGACGGUAGUGGGUAAAGAAGCACCGGCUAACUACGUG